GGGGGGGUAGCUCAUUUGGCUAGAGCGCCUGUUUUGCACGCAGGAGGUAGAGGGUUCGACUCCCUUCCUCUCCACCA
Molecule: transfer RNA, 77 nt
Filed under: Mesomycoplasma ovipneumoniae
Lineage: Bacteria; Bacillati; Mycoplasmatota; Mycoplasmoidales; Metamycoplasmataceae
Also listed under: 1 other name
Description: tRNA-Ala
Rfam family: tRNA
About the family: Transfer RNA (tRNA) molecules are approximately 80 nucleotides in length. Their secondary structure includes four short double-helical elements and three loops (D, anti-codon, and T loops).
Source: RNAcentral